GCUAAGUGAGGGGAGGAGGCCGCGGGAAGAGGGGGGUUGGGAGGGUGAAACGGAGUUAGUGGGCGGAAGGGGGGGGGAGGUGGGUAAUUAAGUCAAAUGUUAAAGCCCCGAGCUGAACUGUGGAAUUGCAUUCGAUACUGGUUGGCUAGAGUAUGGGAGAGGAUGGUAGAAUUCCAGGUGUAGCGGUGAAAUGCGUAGAGAUCGGGAGGAAUACCGAUGGCGAAGGCAGCCAUCUGGCCUAAUACUGACACUGAGGUGCGAAAGCAUGGGGAGCAAACAGGAUUAGAUACCCGGGUAGUC
This 300-nucleotide ribosomal RNA is filed under the name uncultured Thermosulfurimonas sp. RNAcentral's name for it is "partial 16S ribosomal RNA". The stretch from base 52 to 300 matches the Rfam family "Bacterial small subunit ribosomal RNA", at positions 547 to 795 of the family's 1533-position model. The record is from RNAcentral. Lineage: Bacteria; Pseudomonadati; Thermodesulfobacteriota; Thermodesulfobacteria; Thermodesulfobacteriales; Thermodesulfobacteriaceae.